AAUGUUCAGGAAUCAGCAACUUUCUCUAUUUUGGGCAAGUUUUUGGAUGUCUGUGGGUGAGGAAUUGCAUGUCGUGUCUGCUAAAGUUCCUGGAUUUUACUGGGAGGAGGAAUUGCAUUUUUGUGUUUUUCUGGACUUUUACCCUUGGUUGUUCCUUGCUUGUUUUUGUUGAUAUUGAAGAAAAGAUUAUUGUAUUCUUUCCAGAGAUAAGAGGAAUGGUCUUUGGGCGGCGGAUGUGCUGUCUGACAUCAUUCAAAUGACAUCAACACCCAAACAGUGAGGAUCACAGCGGGAAUCAGGUGAUGGCAGGACAGAGAUUCCUGAAGAAACUCCCUUUGAAGGCAAAGGUGACCUCUUUUCAGCAACAUAUUAGUGGGUGUUGUGUGGACAGCUGCUGUGACUGCAAGCCUUCAUCAAAACAGCGCUUGAGCAAUCGAGGGGUGGACUGUGACCUGCUCUGCAGAGAAAGAUGGGGCAGAAGGCAUCUGUUUACACUGUUAUAUUGGCCUUCUUUCUGGGUAAUAGCCCUGGGUAAAGAGAAUAAUAUUAGCUAAAGGAUACUUUUCCCAAAGAUGGGAGUCCUGGCUAUUUUCUCCCUUGCUAAGGUUCCUAGAAAGCAUCUCCCACAUGGGAGACAGAGCUGCUAGGUGGUACAGUCUCCUUCCAGGAGAGGCUGGAAACUCAGAUGUCUGUAAUGUUCUCACAAAGCCACAGACACUGAGUAAAAUAUGGACAAGCCCAAAUCUUAAAGGGGAAUGAAGUUAUAACUCCACCAGCUGGAGCUGAGAAAGGUUGCUGACUUAACUCCAGAAAGGCUGGCAUGUUUUGCUGUUUGUGGAAUGUCCUCGUGUUUCUUACCAGCACACACUGCUGGGACGAGAUCAUGCCAGAGUAAGUUUGUGAUGCUGAGACAUCUCCUGGGUUUGACUGGAGCAGAAAUGCCCUGUGGUUUCUCUACAUCUGGGUGAAAGUAGUAAGUCCUGGAACACCUGAAAAUUGAUGAUAAAAAAUAAAAAGCUUUCCUUCCACCCCCCCA
RNAcentral lists this long non-coding RNA (1036 nucleotides) under Anser brachyrhynchus (Pink-footed goose). Its description in RNAcentral is "lncRNA (ENSABRG00000003918.1)". The record is from RNAcentral. Lineage: Eukaryota; Metazoa; Chordata; Aves; Anseriformes; Anatidae.